RNAcentral lists this long non-coding RNA (1081 nucleotides) under Sus scrofa (pig). Its description in RNAcentral is "lncRNA (ENSSSCG00015000703.1)". The record is from RNAcentral. Lineage: Eukaryota; Metazoa; Chordata; Mammalia; Artiodactyla; Suidae.
UGAAGGGCAUGGAAAACAGUUUGAGUGUGCUGUGCAAAUGGGUGUGUAUGAUAAAUGACCCUCAUUUAGUCAAUACUGAUGGCGGCUGAGUCCUCCUUUCAAUUUAAUCCUUAUGUAAAACUGGCCUGUCCCAGGGAAGACUGGCCACGGUGGCGUGGCACUGUAGGGCAGAGUCCUUUGUGCAGAAGAAAUAAUGAACCACUGUGUGAUGGGAGCCGCUCCAUUAUUUAUGCUGUCCUCAGUUUACCUGUGUGUAGGGUGUAAAGACGAUGCAAGGUACUUGCACUUCUUGAUUGGUUUCCCAAGUUGUUUCUUUGCUCAGCUCUGGAAGUACACUGUUUCCUUAAGGUAUGAAGAAGUGGUUUUGAGAAGUAUCUUUCCCUUCCCUCCCUCGCUCUCUGAGACAUCCAGGAUGGAAGAGGCACCGGCUAUUGUGAGAGAUCCCACAGCAUUUCGUUUGGAGUCUGGAGGCCAUCUGCUCACAUUUCUUCAUUCUCAGCUGUCUUUCCCAGUUGAUCACAAGGGUCAUCUCACUGUGGAGUUAUCACCUAAUUUCCACCUCAUCCCACUUCCAUCUCAUCUUGGAGUUGGAGACUUCAUGAGCUAUCUCCUCAGUGCUGUUAAUACUGUCAGGAAGAAAGAGAACUGACAUCUCUUGUGACAGAUUUGAUUUCUCUGGUAGAAUUUUAAGCACUGUGGUGGAGCCUUCUCAACAUUCCUAAAAUGGGGUAUGUCUCUGGGGGCCAGUGCCAAGAUUGUUUGUGACCCCCUGCUCUGAAGACCAUGUGUGAUCUCAGAGGAUACGUGGAGGGGUGUGGGGAGGGGCAGGUGCUUUGUCCAUGGAGGAGAGGCCAAGUGGAGCAGUUCUGUAAUAGAGAAGAACAAAUCUGACUCCUUAUUGGAUCUGUUUCUUUCACUUUAAUCUUUAUAGUCUAUUGCUUUUGCUACAAGUUAAAAAUGUUGCCUAUAGCCUGAAAAUUAUAGGAUAGCCAAGACUCUGACCUUUAGAGGCAUAACACUUUUCCAUUCAUAUAGAGAUAGGUUUCAGAAUAGAAAACAACUUUUGUCUUAUUGGAUGUUC